Molecule: ribosomal RNA, 497 nt
Filed under: uncultured bacterium
Lineage: Bacteria
Description: partial 16S ribosomal RNA
Rfam family: Bacterial small subunit ribosomal RNA
Source: RNAcentral
GAUGAACGCUGGCGGCGUGCCUAAUACAUGCAAGUCGAGCGAACAGAUGAGGAGCUUGCUCCUCUGACGUUAGCGGCGGACGGGUGAGUAACACGUGGAUAACCUACCUAUAAGACUGGGAUAACUUCGGGAAACCGGAGCUAAUACCGGAUAAUAUAUUGAACCGCAUGGUUCAAUAGUGAAAGACGGUUUUGCUGUCACUUAUAGAUGGAUCCGCGUCGCAUUAGCUAGUUGGUAAGGUAACGGCUUACCAAGGCAACGAUGCGUAGCCGACCUGAGAGGGUGAUCGGCCACACUGGAACUGAGACACGGUCCAGACUCCUACGGGAGGCAGCAGUAGGGAAUCUUCCGCAAAGGGCGAAAGCCUGACGGAGCAACGCCGCGUGAGUGAUGAAGGUCUUCGGAUCGUAAAACUCUGUUAUUAGGGAAGAACAAAUGUGUAAGUAACUAUGCACGUCUUGACGGUACCUAAUCAGAAAGCCACGGCUAACUACGUG